Molecule: long non-coding RNA, 1328 nt
Organism: Dreissena polymorpha
Lineage: Eukaryota; Metazoa; Mollusca; Bivalvia; Myida; Dreissenidae
Exons: 3
Source: RefSeq, a predicted model, not a curated record
CUUACACCUUUAUACCAGAAGUUUAAUCAUACGUCAACAGGAUUAGGCAGGACGUACACCAUAAAUUCUUAAGCCCAAUUGUAAUCGUAUACUUUCGAUUAAUGUGGACUCUCAGCGCGGUGGCCGACAUGGCCACCACGUCAAGAAGACGUGACAAAUCUCUAACCGCCGACUCCCCGAAUGGCCUGAAUGGGUCCUAUCUGCAUAUUUUUCCGAGCAGGGAUGGCUGUGGAUAGAAUAGUCUACCAUGAAGCACACAUUCUUCUGUAGCACUUUUUUAAAUCUAUACGGACAUGUAUCUAGUAUUGACAUAUAAAUAGUGCUUAAAGUUCUCAUAAUCUGCGGAAUGGUCGAUCGUAGAGAUCACUUUGAGUUAUUCAAAUGUUACUUCAGAAAAUUUAGUUCACAAUACGUGGUUCAGUUUACGUUUUAAGUGUGUUGUCAUAACACAUUGAUUAUAUCAACAUAGUCACUAACACCGACGAAAAACAAUUACAAUGGUAUUUUAAUUACGCUGCGUUGGUCUCUUAUCAAAGCAAUCAGCAAUUACUUUGAACAAAACACGGUGUAUCUUGAUAGAGCUCCCCACGCUUCUGUUUACAGGUAUGCAACUACACUACGAAAUGAACUCAUUGAAAGAUAUCUAUUUAGAUCAAACUUGUGCAAUCAAUAUCAGACGAUAAAACAUUAUAUUAGACAAAAGCCUUGGCAUUUUAAGACAAUUACAAUGUAAAACAUUGGUCACAAAACAAGAAGUAAUAACCGGUAUGGAAAUAAUAUUAUAAUUUUAUUGGCAAACGUAGAAGAAAAUCUAUUGAUAUCUAACUUAGGUAUAGAAUAAAGAAGUUACACCAAGUAGGAUUUAUAAACCUAAACCUUUAGUUCGUAUAGAAUCAUCGGUGAUAAUUAUCAAACCCACACAACGUGCAGUUCCAAAGGAAUAACUGUAACAUGUUUUUACAGUCUUAUGCCAUUUUUUUGUAAAGAUAUUCACAAGCAGAGUUUUUACAGAAGAUAUAUCUCGUCUAAACUACAUACCAUUCUUUAGAAAGAUGGAAUGAAUCGUUCUCGUAAACUCCAUCAUCGCAAGCGACAUGUCCAAUACUUCAUGUUCCCUAUUAACUCUACUAAUCUGAAUGGAAAAGAUAUGCACUUUGACAUUUGAAUAUAACGUAUUCAUCAAGUUACCACUACGUCUAAAUUUUCGCUUUAAGCAAUGUCGUGGAAACAUUCAUGUCUACAAUUAAUGUUGCCCGGAAGAGAUCAAACUUAAGACCAAUCAAAGAAUUCAUAAUCCGGCUCUCAACCCACUGUAUCAUUUACUUUCG